This 245-nucleotide ribosomal RNA is filed under the name uncultured bacterium. RNAcentral's name for it is "partial 16S ribosomal RNA". It matches the Rfam family "Bacterial small subunit ribosomal RNA", at positions 524 to 768 of the family's 1533-position model. The record is from RNAcentral.
UACGUAGGGUGCAAGCGUUACUCGGAAUCAUUGGGCGUAAAGGGUGUGUAGGCGGAUUGGUAAGUCAGGUGUGAAAGCCUUGGGCUCAACCCAAGAAGAGCAUUUGAUACUGCCAUUCUAGAAUUCAGGAGAGGAAGAUGGAAUUCCCGGUGUAGAGGUGAAAUCCGUAGAUAUCGGGAGGAACACCAGAGGCGAAGGCGGUCUUCUGGACUGAUAUUGACGCUGAGACACGAAAGCGUGGGUAG